Molecule: non-coding RNA, 78 nt
Organism: Megalops atlanticus (tarpon)
Lineage: Eukaryota; Metazoa; Chordata; Actinopteri; Elopiformes; Megalopidae
Source: the annotation of a GenBank genome assembly
GGCAGUGUGGGGUAGUGGUAACGAGCAUGGCUCAGAAACAAAAGGUUCCUGGUUCGAAUCCCUGCUGAGGCACUGCCA